RNAcentral lists this transfer RNA (71 nucleotides) under Stegodyphus mimosarum. It matches the Rfam family "tRNA". Rfam says of the family: Transfer RNA (tRNA) molecules are approximately 80 nucleotides in length. The record is from Rfam by way of RNAcentral. Lineage: Eukaryota; Metazoa; Arthropoda; Arachnida; Araneae; Eresidae.
ACUUUCGUGGUGUAACGGUAACACACUCGGCUCAUAUUCGAGAGCUCCAGGUUCGAGUCUCGGCGACGGCA